This 102-nucleotide Y RNA is filed under the name Microcebus murinus (gray mouse lemur). Its description in RNAcentral is "Y RNA (ENSMICG00000046346.1)". It matches the Rfam family "Y RNA". Rfam says of the family: Y RNAs are components of the Ro ribonucleoprotein particle (Ro RNP), in association with Ro60 and La proteins. The Y RNAs and Ro60 and La proteins are well conserved, but the function of the Ro RNP is not known. The record is from Rfam by way of RNAcentral. Lineage: Eukaryota; Metazoa; Chordata; Mammalia; Primates; Cheirogaleidae.
GGUUGGUCCGAGUGCAGUGGUGUUUACAACUAAUUGAUCACAACCAGUUACAGAUUCCUUUGUUCCUUCUCCACUCCCACUGCUUCACUUGACCAGCCUUUA